AUUGAACGCUGGCGGCAUGCUUUACACAUGCAAGUCGAACGGUAACAGCACUUCGGUGGCUGACGAGUGGCGAACGGGUGAGUAAUACAUCGGAACGUGCCUAGUAGUGGGGGAUAACUACUCGAAAGAGUAGCUAAUACCGCAUGAGAUCUAAGGAUGAAAGCAGGGGACCUUCGGGCCUUGCUCUACUAGAGCGGCUGAUGGCAGAUUAGGUAGGUGGUGGGAUAAAAGCUUACCACGCCGACGAUCUGGAGCUGGUCUGAGAGGACGACCAGCCACACUGGGACUGAGACACGGCCCAGACUCCUACGGGAGGCAGCAGUGGGGAAUUUUGGACAAUGGGCGCAAGCCUGAUCCAGCAAUGCCGCGUGCAGGAUGAAGGCCUUCGGGUUGUAAACUGCUUUUGUACGGAACGAAAAGCCCUCUUCUAAUACAGGAGGGUCAUGACGGUACCGUAAGAAUAAGCACCGGCUAACUACGUG
This 482-nucleotide ribosomal RNA is filed under the name uncultured bacterium. RNAcentral describes it as "partial 16S ribosomal RNA". It matches the Rfam family "Bacterial small subunit ribosomal RNA", at positions 30 to 507 of the family's 1533-position model. The record is from RNAcentral.